This 497-nucleotide ribosomal RNA is filed under the name uncultured bacterium. RNAcentral describes it as "partial 16S ribosomal RNA". It matches the Rfam family "Bacterial small subunit ribosomal RNA", at positions 28 to 507 of the family's 1533-position model. The record is from RNAcentral.
GACGAACGCUGGCGGCGUGCCUAAUACAUGCAGGUUGAGCGCUGAAGGUUGGUACUUGUACCAACUGGAUGAGCAGCGAACGGGUGAGUAACGCGUGGGGAAUCUGCCUUUGAGCGGGGGACAACAUUUGGAAACGAAUGCUAAUACCGCAUAAAAACUUUAAACACAAGUUUUAAGUUUGAAAGAUGCAAUUGCAUCACUCAAAGAUGAUCCCGCGUUGUAUUAGCUAGUUGGUGAGGUAAAGGCUCACCAAGGCGAUGAUACAUAGCCGACCUGAGAGGGUGAUCGGCCACAUUGGGACUGAGACACGGCCCAAACUCCUACGGGAGGCAGCAGUAGGGAAUCUUCGGCAAUAGACGAAAGUCUGACCGAGCAACGCCGCGUGAGUGAAGAAGGUUUUCGGAUCGUAAAACUCUGUUGGUAGAGAAGAACGUUGGUGAGAGUGGAAAGCUCAUCAAGUGACGGUAACUACCCAGAAAGGGACGGCUAACUACGUG